This 496-nucleotide ribosomal RNA is filed under the name uncultured bacterium. RNAcentral's name for it is "partial 16S ribosomal RNA". It matches the Rfam family "Bacterial small subunit ribosomal RNA", at positions 28 to 507 of the family's 1533-position model. The record is from RNAcentral.
GACGAAUGCUGGCGGCGUGCCUAAUACAUGCAAGUUGAGCGAUGAAGAUUGGUGCUUGCACCAAUUUGAAGAGCAGCGAACGGGUGAGUAACGCGUGGGGAAUCUGCCUUUGAGCGGGGGACAACAUUUGGAAACGAAUGCUAAUACCGCAUAACAACUUUAAACAUAAGUUUUAAGUUUGAAAGAUGCAAUUGCAUCACUCAAAGAUGAUCCCGCGUUGUAUUAGCUAGUUGGUGAGGUAAAGGCUCACCAAGCGAUGAUACAUAGCCGACCUGAGAGGGUGAUCGGCCACAUUGGGACUGAGACACGGCCCAAACUCCUACGGGAGGCAGCAGUAGGGAAUCUUCGGCAAUGGACGAAAGUCUGACCGAGCAACGCCGCGUGAGUGAAGAAGGUUUUCGGAUCGUAAAACUCUGUUGGUAGAGAAGAACGUUGGUGAGAGUGGAAAGCUCAUCAAGUGACGGUAACUACCCAGAAAGGGACGGCUAACUACGUG